CUCAGAUCACGUAAAUUUUUACAAGUCGAACAGACUAUAAAAUUAAGCUCCUGCACCUAAAGUAACAUUUAAUUCAACAUCGAGGUCGCAAACUCAAUUUAAAAUAAGAACUCUCAAAUUGCAUAUCGCUGUUAUCCCUAGAGUAACUUAAUCUUUUAUUUUUAAUUAAAAAGAUUUAUAUCUUCUUAAGGUCACCCCAACCAAAAACUCUCAAAUUUCAAGCUUCUAGGGUCUUCUCGUCCCAGAGGGUCAUAAAAGCAUUUUUACUUUUAAUUUGAUUUCAAAGAAUUUUUAUAAAACUAUCUGUGAGAAUAAUGCCCUUCAUUCCAGUCCCCAAUUAAAAAA
RNAcentral lists this ribosomal RNA (345 nucleotides) under Stygnopsis sp. MZSP 73176. RNAcentral's name for it is "partial large subunit ribosomal RNA". Lineage: Eukaryota; Metazoa; Arthropoda; Arachnida; Opiliones; Stygnopsidae. The record is from RNAcentral.